GCUGGGCGUGGUGGCGGGCGCCUGUAAUCCCAGCUAUUUGGGAGGCUGAGGCAGGAGAAUCACUUGAACCCGGGAGGCUGAGGCUGCAGUAAGCAGAGAUCGCACCACUGCACUCCAGCCUGGGCAACAGAGCGAAACUCUGUCUCAU
This 148-nucleotide non-coding RNA is filed under the name Gorilla gorilla gorilla (western lowland gorilla). The record is from Rfam by way of RNAcentral. Lineage: Eukaryota; Metazoa; Chordata; Mammalia; Primates; Hominidae.